Molecule: ribosomal RNA, 699 nt
Filed under: uncultured Enterobacter sp.
Lineage: Bacteria; Pseudomonadati; Pseudomonadota; Gammaproteobacteria; Enterobacterales; Enterobacteriaceae
Description: bacterial SSU rRNA
Rfam family: Bacterial small subunit ribosomal RNA
Source: RNAcentral
UCGAACGGUAGCACAGAGAGCUUGCUCUCGGGGGACGAGUGGCGGACGGGGGAGUAAUGUCUGGGAAACUGCCUGAUGGAGGGGGAUAACUACUGGAAACGGUAGCUAAUACCGCAUAACGUCGCAAGACCAAAGAGGGGGACCUUCGGGCCUCUUGCCAUCAGAUGUGCCCAGAUGGGAUUAGCUAGUAGGGGGGGUAACGGCUCACCUAGGCGACGAUCCCUAGCUGGUCUGAGAGGAUGACCAGCCACACUGGAACUGAGACACGGUCCAGACUCCUACGGGAGGCAGCAGUGGGGAAUAUUGCACAAUGGGCGCAAGCCUGAUGCAGCCAUGCCGCGUGUAUGAAGAAGGCCUUCGGGUUUUAAAGUACUUUCAGCGGGGAGGAAGGGGUUUUGGUUAAUAACCGCAGCAAUUGACGUUACCCGCAGAAGAAGCACCGGCUAACUCCGUGCCAGCAGCCGCGGUAAUACGGAGGGGGCAAGCGUUAAUCGGAAUUACUGGGCGUAAAGCGCACGCAGGCGGUCUGUCAAGUCGGAUGUGAAAUCCCCGGGCUCAACCUGGGAACUGCAUUCGAAACUGGCAGGCUAGAGUCUUUUAGAGGGGGGUAGAAUUCCAGGGGUAGCGGGGAAAUGCGUAGAGAUCUGGAGGAAUACCGGGGGCGAAGGCGGCCCCCUGGACAAAGACUGACGCUCAAAA